Molecule: ribosomal RNA, 1310 nt
Filed under: Fusarium sp. H1
Lineage: Eukaryota; Fungi; Ascomycota; Sordariomycetes; Hypocreales; Nectriaceae
Description: eukaryotic LSU rRNA
Rfam family: Eukaryotic large subunit ribosomal RNA
Source: RNAcentral
UGCCCUAGUAACGGCGAGUGAAGCGGCAACAGCUCAAAUUUGAAAUCUGGCUCUCGGGCCCGAGUUGUAAUUUGUAGAGGAUGCUUUUGAUGCGGUGCCUUCCGAGUUCCCUGGAACGGGACGCCAUAGAGGGUGAGAGCCCCGUCUGGUUGGAUGCCAAAUCUCUGUAAAGCUCCUUCGACGAGUCGAGUAGUUUGGGAAUGCUGCUCUAAAUGGGAGGUAUAUGUCUUCUAAAGCUAAAUACCGGCCAGAGACCGAUAGCGCACAAGUAGAGUGAUCGAAAGAUGAAAAGCACUUUGAAAAGAGAGUUAAAAAGUACGUGAAAUUGUUGAAAGGGAAGCGUUUAUGACCAGACUUGGGCUUGGUUAAUCAUCUGGGGUUCUCCCCAGUGCACUUUUCCAGUCCAGGCCAGCAUCAGUUUUCGCCGGGGGAUAAAGGCUUCGGGAAUGUGGCUCUCUCCGGGGAGUGUUAUAGCCCGUUGCGUAAUACCCUGGCGGGGACUGAGGUUCGCGCAUCUGCAAGGAUGCUGGCGUAAUGGUCAUCAACGACCCGUCUUGAAACACGGACCAAGGAGUCGUCUUCGUAUGCGAGUGUUCGGGUGUCAAACCCCUACGCGUAAUGAAAGUGAACGCAGGUGAGAGCUUCGGCGCAUCAUCGACCGAUCCUGAUGUUCUCGGAUGGAUUUGAGUAAGAGCAUACGGGGCCGGACCCGAAAGAAGGUGAACUAUGCCUGUGUAGGGUGAAGCCAGAGGAAACUCUGGUGGAGGCUCGCAGCGGUUCUGACGUGCAAAUCGAUCGUCAAACAUGGGCAUGGGGGCGAAAGACUAAUCGAACCUUCUAGUAGCUGGUUUCCGCCGAAGUUUCCCUCAGGAUAGCAGUGUUGAACUCAGUUUUAUGAGGUAAAGCGAAUGAUUAGGGACUCGGGGGCGCUAUUUAGCCUUCAUCCAUUCUCAAACUUUAAAUAUGUAAGAAGCUCUUGUUGCUUAAUUGAACGUGAGCAUUCGAAUGUAUCAACACUAGUGGGCCAUUUUUGGUAAGCAGAACUGGCGAUGCGGGAUGAACCGAACGCGAGGUUAAGGUGCCAGAGUAGACGCUCAUCAGACACCACAAAAGGUGUUAGUACAUCUUGACAGCAGGACGGUGGCCAUGGAAGUCGGAAUCCGCUAAGGACUGUGUAACAACUCACCUGCCGAAUGUACUAGCCCUGAAAAUGGAUGGCGCUCAAGCGUCUCACCCAUACCUCGCCCUCAGGGUAGAAACGAAGCCCUGAGGAGUAGGCGGACGUGGAGGUCAGUGACGAAGCCUAGGGC